This is a long non-coding RNA of Xiphias gladius (swordfish), 176 nucleotides long. RefSeq lists it as uncharacterized. NCBI's taxonomy places the organism in Eukaryota, Metazoa, Chordata, Actinopteri, Istiophoriformes, Xiphiidae. The transcript is spliced from 4 exons. The record is from RefSeq and is a predicted model, not a curated record.
UCUUGGAGCCCUGGGCCCCAUUGGUGCAAAUGGAAUGAAUGGGGACACUGGACCUCGAGGACUAAAAGGAUUACCUGGAAAAACAGGAGCUCCUGGCCUCCAAGGACAUGUAGGGAAGAGUGGUGAAGCUGGCAGUAGAGGAACGAAGGGGACACCAGGAAAGCCAGGACAGAGGG